UUUUAAGAAGGUGUCUAGGGAUGU
This 24-nucleotide non-coding RNA is filed under the name Rattus norvegicus (Norway rat). Lineage: Eukaryota; Metazoa; Chordata; Mammalia; Rodentia; Muridae. The record is from RNAcentral.